Molecule: long non-coding RNA, 906 nt
Organism: Seriola aureovittata
Lineage: Eukaryota; Metazoa; Chordata; Actinopteri; Carangiformes; Carangidae
Exons: 3
Source: RefSeq, a predicted model, not a curated record
AGCACUCAGAGUGUCUUAAAACAAAAGAGCAUCUCCCAAAUUUUGCUUAUCACACCUUAGAUUACUAAUGCUGUAACGCUCUGGGCUGAAGGGGUAUGUCCCCCAUUAGACUCGUGCCUUCACCUCACUCUUCCCAGGUUUGUGUAGCACUGCCUUGCCACUAAGUGCAAUAAAUCUCCUUGUGUGGCUGCAUGAAUAGCCGAGGAAGCCCUUAUAUCACCAGCCGGCCCUGAGCUGCGCUGUGACUUUAUCUGACAACAGGCUCCUUGACCUACAGGCACCCCUUUAUGGCAUUCAUUCCCCAACCGGAGCCAGCAGCCCACUCACUAACCCUGCUGUCCGUCUUGCUGUAGAGCAGCACAGGAAACUGAAAAAUGGACCUCUCUGGGUUGCCACAACGGACUCGGCGUUGGUCAUUGAUCUUCUCUAAAAGCUUUCAAACCUCAAUAUGAAUUUUAUACAUAGAAGAGCAGACUCACUACCUCCACUCUGCAGUAAUCUGUUGCCUUUGGAGAGAUUAUGCACACAAGCCUUUGUAGUGCACUUGUACAAACCAGGCACAAAUGGACUCCCACUCCAUGGCAUCAAAGUUUUGGACAUUGGUUAUGAUAACAUGGUGCUCAGCAAAGCAACGUCUGAGAACAUGGCAACAACGGCACGACAAAGUUCACAAAGAGUUUAGUGAACGCACCCAACACACAGGAAACUGGUGCACAUGCACAACCGAGCAGCUCCUCACACCCGGACCUCAGCAGUUCAGCCGGUGAACACAGUAUCAUUAUUACUGAUGGGCAAAAUAAUGAUGAUGCAAAAAAUGAUGAAUUAUCAGCUGAGUUGUUUUAAUGUAAUUAAAAUCCUCUCAAUCUGCAAAAAGCUCUUUACAUUUUUUCUACUCAAUUUCCCUAU